GGUUCAAGUCCCUCUAUCCC
Molecule: non-coding RNA, 20 nt
Filed under: Borodinia macrophylla
Lineage: Eukaryota; Viridiplantae; Streptophyta; Magnoliopsida; Brassicales; Brassicaceae
Source: RNAcentral